Molecule: ribosomal RNA, 195 nt
Filed under: uncultured bacterium
Lineage: Bacteria
Description: partial 16S ribosomal RNA
Rfam family: Bacterial small subunit ribosomal RNA
Source: RNAcentral
ACGCUCGACACCUACAGGCAGCAGUGGGGAAUAUUGCACAAUGGGGGAAACCCUGAUGCAGCGACGCCGCGUGAAGGAAGAAGUAUCUCGGUAUGUAAACUUCUAUCAGCAGGGAAGAAAAUGACGGUACCUGACUAAGAAGCCCCGGCUAACUACGUGCCGGCAGCCGCGGUAAUCUGAGCGGGCUGGCAAGGC